This 472-nucleotide ribosomal RNA is filed under the name uncultured bacterium. RNAcentral describes it as "partial 16S ribosomal RNA". It matches the Rfam family "Bacterial small subunit ribosomal RNA", at positions 28 to 507 of the family's 1533-position model. The record is from RNAcentral.
GACGAACGCUGGCGGCGUGCUUAACACAUGCAAGUCGAACGCUGAAGCUUGGUGCUUGCACUGGGUGGAUGAGUGGCGAACGGGUGAGUAAUACGUGAGUAACCUGCCCUUGACUCUGGGAUAAGCCUGGGAAACUGGGUCUAAUACUGGAUACGACAUGCCACUGCAUGGUGGUGUGUGGAAAGGGUUUUACUGGUUUUGGAUGGGCUCACGGCCUAUCAGCUUGUUGGUGGUGUAAUGGCCUACCAAGGCGACGACGGGUAGCCGGCCUGAGAGGGUGACCGGCCACACUGGGACUGAGACACGGCCCAGACUCCUACGGGAGGCAGCAGUGGGGAAUAUUGCACAAUGGGCGGAAGCCUGGUGCAGCGACGCCGCGUGAGGGAUGACGGCCUUCGGGUUGUAAACCUCUUUCAGCACGGAAGAAGCGAGAGUGACGGUACGUGCAGAAGAAGCGCCGGCUAACUACGUG